CUUCCUACGGGAGGCAGCAGUGAGGAAUAUUGGUCAAUGGGCGCGAGCCUGAACCAGCCAAGUAGCGUGAAGGAUGACUGCCCUACGGGUUGUAAACUUCUUUUAUAAAGGAAUAAAGUGAGGCACGUGUGCCUUUUUGUAUGUACUUUAUGAAUAAGGAUCGGCUAACUCCGUGCCAGCAGCCGCGGUAAUACGGAGGAUCCGAGCGUUAUGCGGAUUUAUUGGGUUUAAAGGGAGCGUAGCUGGGGUGUUAAGUCAGUUGUGAAAGUUUGGGGCUCAGCCGUAACAUUGCAAUUGAUACUGGA
Molecule: ribosomal RNA, 305 nt
Filed under: uncultured bacterium
Lineage: Bacteria
Description: bacterial SSU rRNA
Rfam family: Bacterial small subunit ribosomal RNA
Source: RNAcentral